UACAACUAAACCAAGUGCUAUGAAGGGAAUUCACGGAGUUUUGAUAGUCUAUGAUAGGGAAGGCUUCCCUGAGGAAGGAUAUAUUGGAGUUUAGGCAAAGAAAAAGGAAAAACAUUCUAGGCAGCAGGAACAGCAGGUACAAAGACCCCAUUGUUGGAGGGAGCAUGGCAAGAAUAAGGGACCAAAAUAAGGCCAAUAUGGCUGGAAGACAAAGAGCAAAGCAAGAAGAACAUGGCUCAAGCCAUGACUGGACAGAAGGUACGGGCCAGACUAUGUAAGACCUUGUAAGACAUGCAGAUGCCACCAGCAGGAAAGCCCUUUGAAAGAAUAAUUCUGUUGAACCUGGUGCUGUGAAAACUGAGAAAGCUGCCCAGCUGAGCAUGAAGUGAGUUGCAACAAGUAAGAGUUGGGAUACGGAAAACGGGACAGCUUCCCAGGUCCACCUGAGUUAAAUCCUCACAAUCAAGCCACAGGAUUUUAUCUGAAGUGAAUUCCCAAAGCAGUACCAAUAUUCUAAGUAAAAAACAUUGUUCUAGUUUUUGUUAUUCAGGACCUUGCUUCCCUUCAUUAGUACAAGUUCCAAAAUGUUAUAUAGUAAACAUUUCUACAAAUGAUACUGCUUAAUACACUGUGAUGUCAAAACAAUGUUCAAGACGUUUUAAAAAAUGAAUUAAAGAAAAGCAGAAGAGGUUUUUGUUUUUAAAAAAAAAAAAUCUAUCACUCACAUUAAGAAAAUUUAAGUAAUUCUCUCAGGAUUCAAUAUCCUCAGUCAGGACGGGAUUAAAUCACUUAGUCAGAAAUUACCAUUCAAAUCUGAAUAUGCCACUUUUAUUACACCUUUUCAAAUUCCACCAACUAGAGAUAUGAGAGCUUUUUUAACCCAAGAUGUAUUCUUAAUUUAUUUUUUUAAUUAGUCAAGAUGUGUCCUCACAUCACAGGACAAUGAAAAGUCAACUGGACUGUUUUCUAAAGCAGAAAAACCCUUGAUGCAAAGAUAGAAAAACUGAGCUAGUGCAAAUGUAUUGAUCCAAUCUCUAUAGAAUUUAUAAGUUUGAAAUGAACACUUUAUUCGGGAAAAUUUUCUUCUGCUAUUUGUGAAAAUCUCAUUUGUAAAGUGAACUCAGAUUAAAACAUUUUUUCUCCAAGACAAGGUAAAGAAUUAAAAGAUUUCCAAAAUUAACUCCUAUAUGUGAAAGACCUGUUUAUGAUACUUUAUGUAGAGUGGGUUUAUCAUGUGUUGCAAAUUUCCAUUAACUCACUUGAUUUAUUAGUAUAUAUAUAAAUAUAGUUUAUACUUUCAAACAAUAAAUCCGUUUCCAUUAAAAAUUCUAGCAUUCACUCUUUUACUAAGCAAAACUGGCCACUCUUUUACACUAAUUAUUUUCAAGUUUUAUAUUGGAUGACCUGGAUGAGUUUUCUUUGGGGAGAGAAAACAAAAAUAAACAAUUCUGCAGUUUUUGUCUACUUUUAAUUAAUACUAAUUUCACUGGGAGCUUCUGACAUGCUAAAAAUGUGGAUUCAUUUCUGAAAGCUCUAAAUUCUAGAUGUAUGCCAAUGACUUCAAAUUUGUUCUGUUGAGGAAACACAAAAAUUUUUAUGUUUGAAACUGUGAAAUAUAUAUACAUCAAACUCA
This is a long non-coding RNA of Choloepus didactylus (southern two-toed sloth), 1633 nucleotides long. RefSeq lists it as uncharacterized. The transcript has 2 exons. The record is from RefSeq and is a predicted model, not a curated record. Lineage: Eukaryota; Metazoa; Chordata; Mammalia; Pilosa; Megalonychidae.